AUGUUCAUACUCCAAGGUGCACCUGCCCUGAAGGAACUGGGCAUCAUGAUGUCUCCACUUAGCGAGGAGAAGGACAAAGGACUCGAGUGGGAACCAUCUGCAUCUAAUUUGAAACACCAGAGUCUGGCUGAGCUCAGAAUCUAUGGUAGGUUGAAAGCAGAAGAAAAAUUUGUUAGCUAUGCCAGAUGUGUCAUGGAAGCAGCGGUGAAUCUGGAGGACAUAAAACUAUAUAAGAAUCCAGUGUGUGAUAAUCGGAAGCACAAGGUUCCAAAGAAGUGGACAUGGAAGCAGAAGCAGGGGCGGAGCUCUGUAGGGGCAAAACAGGGCCAUGGCUCGCCCAGGAAUUUGACCAAUUUUUUUUUACCUAUGUGUCAUCGUAGCCCAGCCCAUUGA
Molecule: ribosomal RNA, 393 nt
Filed under: Triticum aestivum (bread wheat)
Lineage: Eukaryota; Viridiplantae; Streptophyta; Magnoliopsida; Poales; Poaceae
Description: partial small subunit ribosomal RNA
Source: RNAcentral